Molecule: transfer RNA, 69 nt
Filed under: Marmota marmota marmota (Alpine marmot)
Lineage: Eukaryota; Metazoa; Chordata; Mammalia; Rodentia; Sciuridae
Also listed under: 3 other names
Rfam family: tRNA
About the family: Transfer RNA (tRNA) molecules are approximately 80 nucleotides in length. Their secondary structure includes four short double-helical elements and three loops (D, anti-codon, and T loops).
Source: Rfam by way of RNAcentral
GGAGGUGUAGCUCAAUGGUACAGUGCUUGUCUAGUAUGCAUGAGGCCCUGGGUUCAACCUCCACCACCA